CAACCGCCUCGCCGUUCCCCUGCUCCACCCCGACACCCAGCCGUUGCGCCGUUCCUCUCGUCCUCGCCGGUCUCCGGCCGGCCGGAGCCCGGAGCCCAGCCGCCCAGGAGGCUCCCCGCUCCCGCCUCCCCUUCCCGGCUUCCCACCCGCCCGGUCCAGGCGUCCAGGCGUCCAGCCGCACCCCCUGCUUGUGCGCGGCUGCGCCCCUGCCCUGUGCGCGCCUCUGCUGGCCUGCCCCCGCCCGGCCGCCCCCCUGCAAUGUCGGCGAACAAAAUUGUUGAGGAAUGAAGAGGGCCGGACGAGACAUUGUUUCUCUUUUUCAGAGACAAGCUAUUAAGAUAGGGAAUAAGAAGAAGGCAGGGAAUAUGUCGGAUGUGGCCGAAGAGCAAACCGGAGAACUUGUGUGUAUGCCAGAAACAUAGUCUUUUUGAACUUCUCAAGGUAUGUACUAUGGUCUGUGUAGUAUGUACUAUGUAGGCUUUUUUAUGCAAGACGGAGAUUUAAUUGAGAAUUUUAGUGUUUUUGCAAGACCAUAUUGUGAUAUUGAUCUAUUUCUUUGUGAUAUUGGUAAGAACUUUUACAUGUCAUAUUGCUUAUAA
Long non-coding RNA from Triticum dicoccoides, 599 nucleotides. RefSeq lists it as uncharacterized. Lineage: Eukaryota; Viridiplantae; Streptophyta; Magnoliopsida; Poales; Poaceae. The transcript has 2 exons. The record is from RefSeq and is a predicted model, not a curated record.